GGCCGGCGCUGCCCUCCGCCGGGGGAGCGCUGCCCCGCGGCUGUCCCCCGCCCGCCUCCUGCCCGCUCCGGCGCCCACGCCGUUCCACCGGCAAAAGUCACCGGCAAAAGCCAAGCGGGGCGGCGGUACGGCUGCCCCGGGAGGUGGUACCGGGCUGGGGAGGCGGCCCACCCGAGGGGUCUGCGACAAGAGCUGUACCGAGGCUAAACAGGGGUGGUGUAAAUGGCAUAGUCGCUCCUGUGAAAUCAAGGGGGUUACCGAAUUUCUUCCAGUAGGGAUUGCUUGCCAAAAUAGUAUCUGCAGAAAGGAUUAAAAGUUAAAUCCCAGUAAAUUGCCGCGCUCUUUUCUGCCAUUUCCCUACCUAUUAGUCGAGGCAUGCAAAGAACAUCCUACCAAAAACCCUAGUAAAGAGCCAAUUUUGCAUAAUUUUAUUCCUGAAGAAAUAUGUGUAUUCGCUUAAAAUUCGGCUUCGUGAUGGUACUCGUCCGACUUUUAGACGAACGCCAAGAAGCUCUUAUAAGGAAAAUAACUGGCACUGUAAUUUAUUUCCCGGAUAAAUUUUGGAACACAGCGUUCUCUUUCGACCCCUUUUGAACUAAACGGGCGUUUCAGCCUGGCAGAGCCCGCUCCUCCCGCUCGCAACACAGAGGAAAGAAGUUGGAAGCGCGCUCGAAGCCCCAUAGAUUUUGAGUUAAUUGUGUUCGGUAGUUCUCUAAUGAAAUCUACCACUCAAGAAAACAAGGAAAUCAGUUUGCUUUUCACACAAAACAUCGAAUACGUUUUAAGUAAACUGCUUAAUUAAAUUUAAUUUGCAGCGAGGAAGGAAUUGCAGAUCCGGCGACGCAAUUUGGUGGAAAAGGAUCUGAUUCCCGGGACGGAAACUUAGCACUCAAGUGGGAGCUUAGGAGGAGGUCCCGGCAGACAUUUCGGGUUUCGCAAGGAGCGCGGUUUCCUGACAGACGAGCGCGCAGGGAGCAGGCAGCGGGGGGAAAUCCUGCCGCCGCCCCACGGCGCCCGGGCGGCCCGGCUCGGCGGACGGGCAUGGAUGCACUAAUGGACGGAUGGAGGAUGAGCGCUGCCGGCGAGCAGGUGAGACCUGCCAAUCCCUUGCCUUCACUGAAAAUCUGGGAUUUUGCUGUUUGUGCCGGUUAAACCUCUAUUCCUGUACCUCACACUAGCUUAAAAGAUAAAAAAUAAAAUUCUGUUCAUCACUGAAUAACCUCUUUCA
This 1228-nucleotide long non-coding RNA is filed under the name Junco hyemalis (dark-eyed junco). RNAcentral's name for it is "lncRNA (ENSJHYG00000017968.1)". The record is from RNAcentral. Lineage: Eukaryota; Metazoa; Chordata; Aves; Passeriformes; Passerellidae.